RNAcentral lists this ribosomal RNA (433 nucleotides) under uncultured bacterium. Its description in RNAcentral is "partial 16S ribosomal RNA". It matches the Rfam family "Bacterial small subunit ribosomal RNA", at positions 29 to 507 of the family's 1533-position model. The record is from RNAcentral.
AGCGAACGCUGGCGGCAGGCCUAACACAUGCAAGUCGAACGAACCUUUCGGGGUUAGUGGCGGACGGGUGAGUAACACGUGGGAACGUGCCUUUAGGUUCGGAAUAACUCAGGGAAACUUGUGCUAAUACCGAAUGUGCCCUUCGGGGGAAAGAUUAAUCGCCUUUAGAGCGGCCCGCGUCUGAUUAGCUAGUUGGUUGAGGUAAUGGCUCACCAAGGCGACGAUCAGUAGCUGGUCUGAGAGGAUGAUCAGCCACAUUGGGACUGAGACACGGCCCAAACUCCUACGGGAGGCAGCAGUGGGGAAUCUUGCGCAAUGGGCGAAAGCCUCACGCAGCCAGCCGCGUGAAUGAUGAAGGUCUUAGGAUUGUAAAAUUCUUUCACCGGGGACGAUAAUGACGGUACCCGGAGAAGAAGCCCCGGCUAACUUCGUG